This 531-nucleotide ribosomal RNA is filed under the name Triticum aestivum (bread wheat). Its description in RNAcentral is "partial small subunit ribosomal RNA". The record is from RNAcentral. Lineage: Eukaryota; Viridiplantae; Streptophyta; Magnoliopsida; Poales; Poaceae.
AUGGUGCAGGGGCAGAGCCCGGUGGUGAAGCUGGGGGCGUGGGGCAGCGACGGCGGCGCCGCCCACGACAUCGACGUCGUGGCGGCGCCGCCGCACCGGCUGCAUAGCAUCGCCCUCCGCUGGGGCAAGGUCAUCGACUCCCUCGCCUUCACCUACACCGACAAGGACGGGCAGCUGCACGCCGCCGGGCCCUGGGGCGGUGCCGGAGGCGUGUCGGAAGACCUGAUCACCCUGGGGCCCUCGGAGUACGUGACGGAGGUCGGCUGGACCGUGGGCCCGUUCAAGCUCAAGGAGAUCGAGGCGUGCGUCACCUCGCUCAAGUUCGUGACCAACCUGGGGACCACCCACGGCCCCUUCGGCAACGGCGACGGCGCGCACCACAGCCUGCCCGUGCUGGACGCCGGUAGUGUCGUCGGCAUGUUCUGCCGCGCCGAAGACUACCUCCACGCCAUCGGCUUCUAUGUCCGACCCUUGGCCGUCACCGAAUCCACAGACUCGCCGGCCAAGCCUGAGGGGGAGAGUUUGCCCUAA